CACGUAGGGCGCAAGCGUUGUCCGGAAUCAUUGGGCGUAAAGCGCACGUAGGCGGCCAGCUAAGUCGGAUGUGAAAGCCCUCGGCUUAACCGAGGAAGUGCAUUCGAAACUGGUUAGCUUGAAUAUGGAAGAGGGUCGCGGAAUUCCCGGUGUAGAGGUGAAAUUCAUAGAUAUCGGGAGGAACACCAGUGGCGAAGGCGGCGACCUGGGCCAAUAUUGACGCUGAGGUGCGAAAGCGUGGGGAGCAAACAGG
Molecule: ribosomal RNA, 253 nt
Filed under: uncultured bacterium
Lineage: Bacteria
Description: partial 16S ribosomal RNA
Rfam family: Bacterial small subunit ribosomal RNA
Source: RNAcentral